This 4238-nucleotide long non-coding RNA is filed under the name Homo sapiens (human). RNAcentral describes it as "non-protein coding lnc-PRL-3:2". The record is from RNAcentral. Lineage: Eukaryota; Metazoa; Chordata; Mammalia; Primates; Hominidae.
CUCUCUGAUCUGACUAACCUCUUUCAUUCUUUGCCCUAUGUUAUAUGGCUUAGACCAAAGCCUGAGACAUUUAACCAAUUUAUAAAUAUUAAAUGCAGAAGGCAUACUUUAUCAGUUCCUGGAAACAUCAAAGAAGCUGGAAGGGGAAUGGAAAUUGGAUGGCACUUUGUGGAGGUCACUUUGCUGACAGUCAAGUAUUCAAAGACAGAAACAGGGGUUGGAAAAAUUUAAUAGAAAUCACAAGCCUUUAAAAAUAACACUGGCAAUAAUUAAAAACCUUUCCCUUAAAAGCUUCCUAUUGUUAAUUGGUUUACUUUCAUUUAGAUAUAAAUUAAUUUCCAUAAAUUAAUUUUUACCAUCAGAAUAGCUAAAAAAUAUGGAAAGCCUAGAAAUUGACAGAGCAGAGUCAAUAUAUUGAGCAAAGUAAUGUGAUGGUCCAUAAUCUCUAUCAUGAUUAAUAUCUAAUCCUAAUCAUCAUUAUUUUUGGAGGGCCAUUUUUCAUCAUGAUGGCUGCAUUUUAUUUUGAAAUUAUUUAAGGGAAUUAAAUAUUUUGUUAAGUGAAAAUUAAUGUGUCUUUAUUCAUGACUGAGUGAGCCAUUACAAGUGUUUUUCAAAUUCAGUUCUUUUAAAAUAAAUGCCAUGAAUGGUCAUUUAAGUUAGUCACCACACCUAUUUGUCCCAUGACAUAAUGACUACAACUGCCCUAAUGAGUCCAAUUGAAUGGCUAUUGUGCUUGUGGUUAUCUCCUAAGAUACCCGGUCUUUAAAGUAUUAUACAAAAUAUCAGGGAUGAAGGCUCAGAUCAGUUUCAUCUAUAUGCUAUGCCUGCCUGACCUGGAGAACUUGGUGUUAAAGGAAAUGUGUUUAUCAAAUGUGUCAUGUUAUCCUUGGAGGGCAACUGAGGAUCAGAGCACAGCUGCCUUGAAUUGUUCCAUCGAGUUAUUCCACUGCAGUUAAGUGGAACAUCAAAAAACGUCAAGAAGCCUAAAACAUGGAAACUUGUUUAAUUUUCUCAAACAAUGGCACUAACCAAAGCAAACGAAACUUUGACAAGAAAGAAGCAAUUGUUUAGCCUUGUCAUGUCCUCACAGUUAAUAAUACAAAGGGUAUAUUCACAGUGCAAAGAUACUUUCCCUUUCUCUCAAAAUAGAAGACAACGUAUUGUAAGAUAUUUUACAGAUGUCCUUCCUCAUAGAACUCUGUAAACUUUACUAGCUCAAGAACAAAAUCAAAGUUUCAAUUCACGGGACUGAUUCAUCUUGCAUUUUAGGUAUUCUAAUGGUAUAUUUGUACUGUGUGUUGCAACCUAUAGAAUAAAUGUACUUCUUCUUCAUGUUUCCUGUUUGCUGAUGACAGAUACCAGUGGCUCACCUUUCGGCCUAUGAAACAAUGAUUUCUUUUCAAAUUUGAAAUCUGAAUAACUAUGCACCACAAUAGCUGCCUUUGACCCAGAAUUUUUCUCUAGUCAUUAUCUUCCAAAGAAUUUUUCUGCAGUUCGUUAUCCUCUAAGUUCUGAAUCUUAUCCAAAACCUGUUACAACUUAAACUUCUGGCUCCCACUCUUAAGGACUUGCUGUUUCAUCAGAUCUUCCUUCUCCAUUUUUCCAUCAGUGAAACCUAAAAUAAAUUCAAAAUCAUAAGAAUGUAAGAGCAAACCUAAUGUUCUGUAUCAUGGCAUAAUUUUACUUAGAGAAACCAAAAUAUCUGAAGGUGAGUUGUUCAAAUCUUAAGUGACAACAGUUAACUUACUAUGAGCAAUAGAAAAAAAAUUUAAAUAUUAGAACAAGUGCUACAAAAGAAUGGACAUUUUGGGACAGAAACUUUCUGUAUUGGUAAAUCUGCCACCCUUCUGAAUAAUAAAUGAUUUGAUUUUACUUCCACAAGAAACUUCAGAUCCAUGUCUAAACACAGCAAAUAAGCCAGUCAUGGUGCCUCAUGCCUAUAAUUCCAGCACUUUAGGAGGCUGAGGCAGGUGGACCACUUGAGCUUGGGAGUUCGAGACCACCCUGGGCAACAUAGUGAAACCUCAUCUCUACCAAAAAUACAAAAAAUUAGCCAGGUGUGGUGGCAUGUAUCUGUAGUCCCAGCUAGUCAAGAGCCUGAGGUAGGAGGAUCACUUGAGCCCGGGGGGUCCAGGCUGCAGUGAGCCGAGAGAUCACGCCACUGCACUCCAGCCUGGGUGAGAGAAUGAGAUCUUGUCUCAAAAACAAAAGCAGAAGUAAUAACAACAACAACAACAACAAAAAGGAAUAAAUGCACCUGAUCAAAAAAAGGAGAAAAAAAGAAAAAGUUAUUAAUUUAAAAUGCAUUUAUUUACCCUACUUUGUUAUAGUUUGCUCUAUGUUAAUGUAUAUAUAUUUUAAGUCAUUCUUUAGCAUUCACCAUCUUUACGAACAUACUUUUGAAAAUGGGUAACAAACUCUCUUAAAACUGCUAAUGGAAGAUGCCAAAGAAGAAGAGGACUCCUUGCCUCCAAACGUGGGAGAAGGCCUUAGAGUCUCCUUCGGUAACUGAGAAGCAGAAUACUCCCAUUGUAUGAGGUUGCUUGGCAGUUGCAGCUGUCACUCAGACUUCUUAUCCACACCAAGCACUUCCAAAUACAGGAAAGAAAUUAGACUUUGUUUCUCUACCCUAUUUGGAUAAUAAUUAAAUGUUUCAACUAGAAACCUCUUCACUCUGGCAUCUGAAGCAUCAUCUUAGUGUCAACUUCUCUUGAAAAGGGCACACACACAUACACAUGGCCCAGUCCCAAGGCGCAACUUGUGCCAGCAGCCCGCGCCAGCAGCCUGCACCAGCAAAAUAGCAGUAGCAAGAAGAGAGCCAGCAGAAGACACCUACCCUGGCCGGAAGACGCGUACCCCUGAAGAUUGAGGAAGAGGCCAUCCGGGUACAACGUAGCAGUUACGUCAGACUAAGACACUUCCUGUUUAUAGGAGACUAUAAAACCUUUGCCCUGUCCUCACUAGGGGCUGACACCAUUUUAGUCCUCAGACCGCCUGCACCCAGGCGCUCAUUAAAACAGCAUGUUGCUUCCACCGCCUCAUGUUGUCUGUUGGCGCGCUCUCGGGGUUCGAACCAGUACAAGAACCUUAGAUAUAUGAUACUGCACCUAAUAAAAAUAGUCUAAAAUAACAACAGCCAAUAUAGGCACAAACCUGAAAGUGUCUGCAUAGAAGUAACACAUCCAUGUACUUGUUGAGUCCACUGAGGAAGGAAAAAGUUAGUUUCACUUGACUAAGUUCCCACAUGGAUUAAGCAGCAGACCCAAGACCAAGACCAGAACGCAAUCCACUCUUUGAUGAGAACAUACUUGGAUAUGACCUAUGCUAUUUUGAAUGAAAUUUAGCAAGGAAGAACUGUCCAUCAAUCAUUUUAACCAAGUUCACCUUUUGUUGCCAUUUAAGUUUAAUUUUGUCCCAGGAAAUUCAUAGUGAGUGAUUGUGAUUACAUUUUCCUCAUUUUCAUGCCUCUGACAUUCUUGUUGAAGAUGCUAAUCUUGUAUAAAGCUGUCUUUGGAGUUGAUGAUGCUGACACUUCUCACUCCUAUGGGAAAUGGAGAGAUGUGGUGCAUAAAAUAGAAUAAAAUGUAUUAGAGCAAAAUAAAACUGCUAAUAAGAGUAAUCACUGUAAUAGAUUUUAAAAUCAUUUUAAAUCUAGUUUUAAUUACCUAAAUCCAUCUCAGAAUUACUACUGAUGUGAUGAGAAAUUCAUAAAUUCUGUGCAAAUUGAAAACAGAAAUUACAUUGUUUAUUAAAAUACUACUUUACUACCCCAUCUCUAUAUUAUCAUAUAUGUAAAUUUACGCAUGUAUACAUAAAUUAUACAUUUAUACAUAUAAACUUGAAUUUAUCAGAACUACUCAAUUUCAUCUCCUGGUUAAUAAUUUAGUAUGCAUUAACCUUCAGUAUUCACAUCAAGAUACAUUCUCCUCUCAAACAUGAUAAAACGAAAGCGUUCUAAGAUUAUACAGAGUGUGUUUUCUAAACAAAAUUCGCUUCUCGUUUUAGAAAGUUGAUGUCAUCAAGGCAUCACCAUCAAAUUUAACUUCUCUACUUUUCUUUAGAUAAAAAUAGAGAAGAAAGCUUUCUAAGUGUGUCAGUCUAAGAAAAACUUUAAUUAGAAUCUCUGGCUGUUGUUUAGGUUGCAUUCUACAACUUAUUUCAGCUUGACAGUAGGCAGGAGACUUCCCCUUCAAUUUUAGGUCGAAGCCAGAAUAAAAAGUGCUUUAGAAAAAGAAAAA